Molecule: ribosomal RNA, 524 nt
Filed under: uncultured bacterium
Lineage: Bacteria
Description: bacterial SSU rRNA
Rfam family: Bacterial small subunit ribosomal RNA
Source: RNAcentral
GGCUCAGGACGAACGCUGGCGGCGUGCCUAAUACAUGCAAGUCGAACGGUCUUUCUAUGGAAGCUUGCUUCCACUGAGAAGAUAGUGGCGAACGGGUGAGUAACACGUGGGUAACCUGCCCAUAAGAGGGGGAUAACAUCCGGAAACGGGUGCUAAUACCGCAUAGUUUUCUUGAUCGCAUGAUUGAGAAAGGAAAGACGGCCUUUGUGCUGUCGCUUAUGGAUGGACCCGCGGCGUAUUAGUUAGUUGGUGAGGUAACGGCUCACCAAGACGAUGAUACGUAGCCGACCUGAGAGGGUGAUCGGCCACAUUGGGACUGAGACACGGCCCAAACUCCUACGGGAGGCAGCAGUAGGGAAUCUUCCGCAAUGGACGAAAGUCUGACGGAGCAACGCCGCGUGAGUGAAGAAAGGUUUUCGGAUCGUAAAACUCUGUUGUCAGAGAAGAACAAGUUGGAGAGUAACUGCUCCAGCCUUGACGGUAUCUGACCAGAAAGCCACGGCUAACUACGUGCCAGCAGCGGC